UCCAGAGGGUGCAAGCGAUAAUCGGAAUUACUGGGCGUAAAGCGUACGUAGGUGGUUUGUUAAGUCAGGCGUGAAAUCCUGGGGCUCAACCUCAGAAUUGCGCUUGAUACUGACAGACUCGAGUGUGGUAGAGGAUAGUGGAAUUCCCGGUGUAGCGGUGAAAUGCGUAGAUAUCGGGAGGAACAUCAGUGGCGAAGGCGGCUAUCUGGACCAACACUGACACUGAGGUACGAAAGCGUGGGUAGCAACCAGG
This 253-nucleotide ribosomal RNA is filed under the name uncultured bacterium. Its description in RNAcentral is "partial 16S ribosomal RNA". It matches the Rfam family "Bacterial small subunit ribosomal RNA", at positions 524 to 776 of the family's 1533-position model. The record is from RNAcentral.